RNAcentral lists this transfer RNA (84 nucleotides) under Paenibacillus flagellatus. It matches the Rfam family "tRNA". Rfam says of the family: Transfer RNA (tRNA) molecules are approximately 80 nucleotides in length. Their secondary structure includes four short double-helical elements and three loops (D, anti-codon, and T loops). Further hydrogen bonds mediate the characteristic L-shaped molecular structure. tRNAs have two regions of fundamental functional importance: the anti-codon, which is responsible for specific mRNA codon recognition, and the 3' end, to which the tRNAs corresponding amino acid is attached (by aminoacyl-tRNA synthetases). tRNAs cope with the degeneracy of the genetic code in two manners: having more than one tRNA (with a specific anti-codon) for a particular amino acid; and 'wobble' base-pairing, i.e. permitting non-standard base-pairing at the 3rd anti-codon position. Lineage: Bacteria; Bacillati; Bacillota; Bacilli; Caryophanales; Paenibacillaceae. The record is from Rfam by way of RNAcentral. RNAcentral also lists the same sequence under 2 other names.
GCGGUCGUGGCGGAAUUGGCAGACGCGCUAGAUUCAGGUUCUAGUGAUGUAACAGUCGUGGAGGUUCGAGUCCUCUCGACCGCA